CCUACGGGGGGCAGCAGUGGGGAAUAUUGGGCAAUGGGCGCAAGCCUGACCCAGCAACGCCGCGUGAAGGAAGAAGGCUUUCGGGUUGUAAACUUCUUUUCUCAGGGACGAAGCAAGUGACGGUACCUGAGGAAUAAGCCACGGCUAACUACGUGCCAGCAGCGGCGGUAAUACGUAGGUGGCAAGCGUGAUCCGGAUUUACUGAGUGAAAAGGGCGUGUAGGCGGGACUGCAAGUCAGAUGUGAAAACCACGGGCUCAACCUGUGGCCUGCAUUGGAAACUGUAGUUAUUGAGUACUGGAGAGGCAGACGGAAUUCCUAGAGUAGCGGUGAAAUGCGUAGAUAUUAGGAGGAACACCAGUGGCGAAGGCGGUCUGCUGGACAGCAACUGACGCUGAGGCGCGAAAGCAUGGGGAGCAAACAGGAUUAGAUACCCCUGUAGUC
Molecule: ribosomal RNA, 443 nt
Filed under: uncultured bacterium
Lineage: Bacteria
Description: partial 16S ribosomal RNA
Rfam family: Bacterial small subunit ribosomal RNA
Source: RNAcentral